CCUACGGGAGGCAGCAGUGGGGAAUAUUGCACAAUGGGGGAAACCCUGAUGCAGCAACGCCGCGUGAGUGAAGAAGUAUUUCGGUAUGUAAAGCUCUAUCAGCAGGGAAGAAGAAAGACGGUACUUGACUAAGAAGCCCCGGCUAACUACGUGCCAGCAGCCGCGGUAAGACGUAGGGGGCAAGCGUUAUCCGGAUUUACUGGGUUUAAAGGGAGCGUAGACGGUUGUGUAAGUCUGAAGUGAAAGCCCGUGGCUCAACCGCGGAACUGCUUUUGAAACUGUAAAGCUUGAGUACUGGAGAGGCAGGCGGAAUUCCUGGUGUAGCGGUGAAAUGCGUAGAUAUUAGGAGGAACACCGGUGGCGAAGGCAGCUUGCUAAACAGAAACUGACAUUGAUGCUCGAAAGCGUGGGGAGCAAACAGGAUUAGAUACCCUAGUAGUC
This 441-nucleotide ribosomal RNA is filed under the name uncultured bacterium. RNAcentral describes it as "partial 16S ribosomal RNA". It matches the Rfam family "Bacterial small subunit ribosomal RNA", at positions 338 to 795 of the family's 1533-position model. The record is from RNAcentral.